RNAcentral lists this long non-coding RNA (4541 nucleotides) under Olea europaea subsp. europaea. The record is from RNAcentral. Lineage: Eukaryota; Viridiplantae; Streptophyta; Magnoliopsida; Lamiales; Oleaceae.
CACACACUAGAAGAAAGAAAGAAAGAACCGGCGGAGAAGAAGAAAAAGGGAAAGAAAAGAGGGAAGAAAAAAAGGGAAAGAAAAAAAGGAAGAAGAGAAAGAAAGGAAAGAGGUAGUUCAAGGUUCAUUUCCAUUUUUCCUCUCUUUUUAUUUUCUUCAAGAGGUAGAUAUAUUUUAUGUUAAAUUCUAGGGUUUUAUUGUGGCUCGAAAAUUUUCUGAUUUUUGAGAGGAAUAUUACUUAGAGCUCAAGUUAUUGAUUCUUGAAUUUCUAUCUACACUAAGGUAAGAAGAUAUUAAUUUUAUUUGGGCAAACCCUAGUUUUUUUAAAUUUAAUGAUUGAGCAUGGAUUAUUUGUGGAAAUGAUUACAUUAAUGAAAUUAUUCACUUGGAUGAAUGAUUUUGGGGAAUGAUAGCUAUAUUAAUUUUGUUGUAUUAUGAUUUCUCGUUUUUCACUAAAAUGAAAGGGACAAAUAUUGUUAUGAUUGUAAUGAAGUUAAAUUUGGAUGUGGUACAUGAUUGUGAAGGUAUUAGAAAGUGGAAAUUAGCUUCGAUUGAUUAAAGGAAAUUUAGGAAAAUUUCGCAAGUUUUGGGGAAUUUAGUUUAAUUAUUAUAUCAUUAGAGAUUAAAUAUUUCUUUAUUUUAAUAGUGAUUAAAUUAGUUAUUUGUAACGUAUUACAGGUGGUGACGAAGAAUUGGAAAAGCUUACCGACUAGCUUAGUCUGUAGCUCGUAUUUAGUGAAUGGAUUAAAACUUAUUUUUCAAAAAUAAGUCUUCUUUAAAUUUUAAAGUUAUUUAUUUUAUAAAGUUGACUUCAUAGCAUGAUUUUCAGAAUAAAAUGGAUUUUAUUAUUAAUUGCUUUUAAAGUUAAAUUCAGUUCAAUUAAAUUAUUUUAGUAGCAUGGUAUAUUCUUAUUACAUGUUUCAGUAUAGCUAAAGUUAUUUCUAAAAACCACCAGAAAGUACCCAUGUGAUUUUACCCCAAUUUGCACUGAUGUGAAUGUGUUUCCACAGUAUAUGACUAAUUAUAGUGAUUUUACCUGUUCUGCACUAUCGUGAAUGUGUUUCCAUAGUGUAUGACCAGAUUAUCAGAGGUCUUUGGGACCCACUCUCGUACACACAUAGGCUUUAUGCCGUGUACUAGGGUGAUUAGCCUUUGGGACAACUCUGUGUACGUAUGACCAGAUUAUCAGCUAUCAGAUUUGAAUGGCUUUACCUUGUACAUCGAAAUUACUCUGUACAUGAGUAAGGCUAUUCAUUUGGUACUCUUUUUGGGGUGAUUUUUCAGUAUUUAUUCAAUUCUCAAAUUUCAGAUUAUGAAAUUCAGUUAAUUUAGUUUUCAGAAUAAAGCUUUCAGCUUAUAGUAUUGACCAGUAGCAAUAUUUCAUAGAUUUUCAUGAAUAUCCGAUUAUUCGUUAACUUUACAUCUACUUAUCUAGAAUUACAUAAUUGAAUAGCUUUGUCAUGUCUAUCGGUGUAAACCGAUAAAUGAGUAUAGUUAUUUCGGGUACCCUUUUGGUGUGACUUUUCAGUGUUGUACAGCUUAUCAGAUUUCAGAAUGCAGAAUUUAGCUUUUCAGUUUAAAGAAUAAAGAUUUAGCUAAAAGUACUGUGAAUGAUAUUUUUAUCAUAAACCAGUUUUUAGAAUGUUAGCAUAAAUGGAAAAAGUAUUUUUAUUUACAAAAUUAUCUACUCACUGAGUUAUAGGCUCACAUUUUUUUUACAAUUUCUCUUAUUAGAUAGUAGUUGAGUGGAGCACUAUUGGGCCAGUUGAUCUAUCGAGUUAAAUUAUAAAUUGUCAAGCAUUGUAUGACUCAUCUUAUCAGUUUAAUAGCUCAUAUUUUGGAAUAGACACAUCUUUUGGUCAGAAAUUAGUUCCAUGUUUUGGGCUGCUAUGUUUUGUAUAUAUUAUGCAUUUUGGGUACUGUGGUUUAUAAAUUGUUGCAAAGGUCAAAUUGUCAGUGUUGUAUUUGAAUAGUUGAUCUUCUGUGAGCCAGUGUACCCUAUUUUAAACUAUAUGUAUCUGUUUGGGAUAUUGGAUUAUAUAUUUCAGAUGGUUUUAGUCUAUAAUUCACGGGGAACUCUGUCAAAAUUUUUACAAAGCAUAUCAUAGUAAAUACAAGUCAAUGUUGCCUUGAUGGUGGGUCCGGCACUUAACUGGUAUCUACCAUCGGCGCACGACACGUGUCGGGUCUAUUAGGAUGAUUCGGGACGGGUCGUGUCAGAAAUUGCUCGAGAGAUUUAGUCUAAGAGAAAACAUGUGGAUAAAAUCCUUGUACGAAGACCGCAAGCUCUGGGUGCCUACGUUUAUGAAAGGCAUGUCCUUUGCUGGUUUGUAUGCAGCUUCAAGAUCAGAAAUUCUGAACUCUUUCUUUGACAAAUAUAUGCAUGGGGAAACUUCUCUAAGGGAUUUUAUAGGACAAAUACAAAUCAAUUCUUGAAGACAGGUUCGAAGAGGAGGCCAAAGCAAAUUUUGAUGCAUGGCAUGAAACACCCGAGCUGAAGUCCCCUUCUCCUUUUGAGAAACAAAUGUUACUUGUAUAUACUCAUGAAAUAUUCAAAAAGUUUCAAAUUGAGGUACUGGGAGCAGCUGCAUGCCAUCUGAAAAAAGAAAAAGAAGACGGGCCAACUUUAAUUCAUGGGGUUAAAGACUUUGAAGAUAAUCAGGAUUUUAUAGUGGAAUGGAAUGAACGAAAAUCAGAUAUAUACUGUUCUUGUCGUUCAUUUGAAUAUAAAAGUUAUCUUUGUAGACAUGCCAUUGUGGUUCUCCAAAUGUUUGGCAAAUUCAGUAUACCAUUUAAGUACAUAAUGCAACAGUGGACUAAUGCUGCCACUAGUAGGCAUCCCAUAAGUGAAAAACCGGACGAGGUACAAUCUGAUGUCCGUCUUUACAAUGACCUUUGCCAACGAGCUAUAAUAUUAGGUGAAGAAGGGUCAUUGUCUUAGAAUAGUUACGGCAUUGCUGUUGCUGCCAUUAAAGAAGCUCUGCUACAAUUUGAGAACGUGAGUAACUCUUCUGAAAAUAAUUUGAGAUCGAAAAUAUCGGCAACUCUUUCCAUUCAAGGUGUUGUGGGAGUAAACCAAGGUAGCACUAUCACCAGUGGAGAGCAAAUUCCUAAUGAUGAUGUGAUCCAGACAAACAAGGGGGCCAAGAGAAUAGAUUCCGGAAAGGAACGGGUCGGUAAUGAUGGAAAUGCAAACAAGGAAGGAAAGGUUGGUUUCUUUGUUUAUUUACUUGCUCUUUUGUUUUAAAGAAAAAUUUGUUGAAUGCCAUCAUAUGUACAGCAGGUCCCUAUGGAUACACAAAUUGCAAAUGUAGGGUCCCAAGGCGUCUUUCAGCAAAUGGUUUGUCUCUUCUAAUCUUAGUCAUACUUUUAAGUUAAACUUUAAAGGGAUUUAUAGUUUUAAUUAACAGGACAUUCAUAGGAUUACUUGCAUAUACAAUCACCUCUUCUUUUUUUUUACCUGAAAAAUUAAAGCUUCUAUUAUUAUUAUUUUUUUCCAGAGUUAUUGAUUAACUUAAACCCCUCAAAAUCUUCUGACUCUAGCUUGAGUAGUGUUGGAUUUCCUUAUGGAUCCAACUGUGCCUAUUUCUGCCUGGAUCACAUUAUUAUUAUGCAUUUGUUCUCCUAUAAACAUAAAUUUCUUACACCUUCUACCUUCAAUUAGCCUCUUGCUAGGAGAACAUAAAUUUCAUAAAGUAUGCAAUUAAUCUAUGUUCAGUGUAGAUGCGUUUAUAUACUAACAGUGUUAUAGACGGAAAUGGGAAAAACAUAAAUUUCCCAUCAAUAUGUCUUUGUGUGGGCGCUAUAGAUGCAUAUACACGCAUGUGUUCAAGUAGAUUUCUUGCUUGUGUCGUGCAUGAAGUUAAAUGGAAAAAUUGUACCAUUGGUCCCUAAACUUAUUUUCCAGAAGCAAGUUGGUUCCACCUUCCAUUCUCAUUGCACAAUUAGUCCCCCAUGACAAACCUUCCAAAUAUCGGUUAAAUAGUUAUGUUAUCCUCUCCAAAUUUGUGAAGUUUCAUUUGCUUCUUCACUUUGAAAUUCAAAAAUUUUAGGCAAGACAUGUUUCCAUAAGAGCACGUUACAAUAGAUUGGGGACUACUGGAUGGACAUAUUUACCUCAAUGAGUAAGCUAUGUAUUAUGUACUACGAAUCAAGUUUUAACUUUCAUUUGUGUAGGAUAUGUCUGGUAGCCUGGAUUAUCCUACGUUGUACCCAAGGUUUCUUACAACAUUGUUAAGGUGUGGUGACAUCUCCAAGAGAAGUGUGGAAAUGCUUGACGAGAUGUUGGAGGAACAAAGAUGAAGGUGCCCUUAUUGAUCGAUCUUGGACAGGUAUUCUUGUUAUUUGUUUGAUUAUAUUUAAAUAUAAAUAUCAGUUUAACUGGCUUUCCCUGCUUCAUGAGAAAUUCAGCAUUUAAUGCUGUCUUCUUGCUUCAUGCAUUGAAGCCAACAUUAUUUUACUUUAAUGUCUUGUGCUAUGAUCACCAAAUAGUAGCUGAUUGGGGAUGCAUUCCGAGAUCUAGCUGAAAUGUUGACUUCUUA